AUGAAACAAGAUGGUCUGAGGGCUGUACCAUGCAUCUUGAUUUGGGCUUAGCGAGGUAACUUCAGGGUUAGCUGUGGGUUUUCUGUACAAU
Molecule: long non-coding RNA, 91 nt
Organism: Myripristis murdjan (pinecone soldierfish)
Lineage: Eukaryota; Metazoa; Chordata; Actinopteri; Holocentriformes; Holocentridae
Exons: 3
Source: RefSeq, a predicted model, not a curated record